RNAcentral lists this ribosomal RNA (253 nucleotides) under uncultured bacterium. Its description in RNAcentral is "partial 16S ribosomal RNA". It matches the Rfam family "Bacterial small subunit ribosomal RNA", at positions 524 to 776 of the family's 1533-position model. The record is from RNAcentral.
UACAGAGGUCUCAAGCGUUGUUCGGAAUUACUGGGCGUAAAGGGUGCGCAGGCCGCGCGGGCAGUCAAAUGUGUAAUUCAGGGGCUCAACCCCUGCAUUGCGCUUGAUACUUCCGCGCUCGAGCUUUGGAGAGGAGUCUGGAAUUCUCGGUGUAGCAGUGAAAUGCGUGGAUAUCGAGAAGAACACUUAGGGCGUAGGCAAGACUCUGGACAAAUGCUGACGCUCAUGCACGAAGGCUAGGGUAGCGAACGGG